AACGAACGCUGGCGGCAUGCCUAACACAUGCAAGUCGAACGAGACCUUCGGGUCUAGUGGCGCACGGGCGCGUAACGCGUGGGAACCUGCCCUUAGGUUCGGAAUAACUCCCCGAAAGGGGUGCUAAUACCGGAUAAUGUCUUCGGACCAAAGAUUUAUCGCCUUUGGAUGGGCCCGCGUUGGAUUAGCUAGUUGGUAGGGUAAAAGCCUACCAAGGCGACGAUCCAUAGCUGGUCUGAGAGGAUGAUCAGCCACACUGGGACUGAGACACGGCCCAGACUCCUACGGGAGGCAGCAGUGGGGAAUAUUGGACAAUGGGCGAAAGCCUGAUCCAGCAAUGCCGCGUGAGUGAUGAAGGCCUUAGGGUUGUAAAGCUCUUUUACCCGGGAUGAUAAUGACAGUACCGGGAGAAUAAGCUCCGGCUAACUCCGUGC
RNAcentral lists this ribosomal RNA (434 nucleotides) under uncultured bacterium. Its description in RNAcentral is "partial 16S ribosomal RNA". It matches the Rfam family "Bacterial small subunit ribosomal RNA", at positions 29 to 508 of the family's 1533-position model. The record is from RNAcentral.